This 600-nucleotide ribosomal RNA is filed under the name Corynebacterium sp. YIM 75940. RNAcentral's name for it is "bacterial SSU rRNA". It matches the Rfam family "Bacterial small subunit ribosomal RNA", at positions 85 to 700 of the family's 1533-position model. Lineage: Bacteria; Bacillati; Actinomycetota; Actinomycetes; Mycobacteriales; Corynebacteriaceae. The record is from RNAcentral.
GGGUGCUCGAGUGGCGAACGGGUGAGUAACACGUGGGUGAUCUGCCCCUGACUUCGGGAUAAGCUUGGGAAACUGGGUCUAAUACCGGAUAGGACAAUCGUUUAGUGUCGGUUGUGGAAAGUUUUUUCGGUUAGGGAUGAGCCCGCGGCCUAUCAUCUUGUUGGUGGGGUAAUGGCCUACCAAGGCGUCGACGGGUAGCCGGCCUGAGAGGGUGGACGGCCACAUUGGGACUGAGAUACCGCCCAUACUCCUACGGGAGGCAGCAGUGGGGAAUAUUGCACAAUGGGCGCAAGCCUGAUGCAGCGACGCCGCGUGGGGGAUGACGGCCUUCUGGUUGUAAACCUCUUUCGACAGGGACGAAGCUUUUGUGACGGUACCUGUAUAAUAAGCACCGGCUAACUACGUGCCACCAGCCGCGGUAAUACGUAGGGUGCGAGCGUUGUCCGGAAUUACUGGGCGUAAAGAGCUCGUAGGUGGUUUGUCUCGUCAUCUGUGUAAUUCCGGGGCUUAACUUCUGGCGUGCAUGCGAUACGGGCAUAACUUGAGUGCUGUAGGGGAGACUGGAAUUCCUGGUGUAGCGGUGGAAUGCUCAGAUAUCAA